AUUAGUCAAUGCUCGCAAGAGUGAACUAGCUAACUGAAAUCAUAUUUGUGUCAAAUGUGAUGUCGUAAGGGAAAAUAAUGAUGUUACCUUACUAAUAGUGUCGUCUAAAACUGGUGCCAGAAGACUCGGUAAGGCCAGAGACACAAAUGUUAAUCGUCUUAAUCAGGCGUAAAGGGUUUGUAGGCUGCUUUGAAAAUAUUAAUUUAUUAUAGCCGUCUCUUAUCUUAUUUUUUAUAUAAGAUAUAGGGAAAGUAAAUUAAUAUCAAUUAAAGCUAGAAUCUAAUAGGGGAUAUUUACGAUAUAAUGCUUGGUUGAGGGCUGAGAUCCGUAGACACUGAGUGGAAUACUAAGGGCGUAAGCAUUUAUCCAUUAAAGAUUGACGCUGAGAAACGAAGGUGAGGAUAGGAAAUAGGAUUAGAUACCCAGAUACCCCUCUCUGUCAACGAUGAAUGGUAGUUUGUUAGUCUAAUUACAGACUAGUGACGAAGUUAACGCGUUAACCAUUCCGCCUUGUGAGUACGACUGCAAAGUUGAAAACAAAAAAAUUAGUCGGUCUCGGAGCAAACGAAGUGAAGUAUGUUAUUUA
This 586-nucleotide ribosomal RNA is filed under the name Mycorrhaphium adustum. RNAcentral's name for it is "partial small subunit ribosomal RNA". It matches the Rfam family "Bacterial small subunit ribosomal RNA", at positions 363 to 948 of the family's 1533-position model. The record is from RNAcentral. Lineage: Eukaryota; Fungi; Basidiomycota; Agaricomycetes; Polyporales; Steccherinaceae.